This 301-nucleotide ribosomal RNA is filed under the name uncultured bacterium. Its description in RNAcentral is "partial 16S ribosomal RNA". It matches the Rfam family "Bacterial small subunit ribosomal RNA", at positions 509 to 807 of the family's 1533-position model. The record is from RNAcentral.
CAGUAGCCGCGGUAGUACGUAGGGUGCGAGCGUUAAUCGGAAUUACUGGGCGUAAAGCGUGCGCAGGCGGUUUUGUAAGACAGGCGUGAAAUCCCCGGGCUCAACCUGGGAAUGGCGCUUGUGACUGCAAAGCUAGAGUGCGGCAGAGGGGGAUGGAAUUCCGCGUGUAGCAGUGAAAUGCGUAGAUAUGCGGAGAAACACCGAUGGCGAAGGCAAUCCCCUGGGCCUGCACUGACGCUCAUGCACGAAAGCGUGGGGAGCAAACAGGAUUAGAUACCCCCGUAGUCCCUGUCUCUUAUAC